This 464-nucleotide ribosomal RNA is filed under the name uncultured bacterium. RNAcentral describes it as "partial 16S ribosomal RNA". It matches the Rfam family "Bacterial small subunit ribosomal RNA", at positions 28 to 507 of the family's 1533-position model. The record is from RNAcentral.
GACGAACGCUGGCGGCGUGCUUAACACAUGCAAGUCGAACGGAAAGGCCCUGCUUGCAGGGUACUCGAGUGGCGAACGGGUGAGUAACACGUGGGUGAUCUGCCCUGCACUUCGGGAUAAGCCUGGGAAACUGGGUCUAAUACCGGAUAGGAGCCAUUUUUAGUGUGAUGGUUGGAAAGUUUUUUCGGUGUAGGAUGAGCUCGCGGCCUAUCAGCUUGUUGGUGGGGUAAUGGCCUACCAAGGCGGCGACGGGUAGCCGGCUUGAGAGGGUGGACGGCCACAUUGGGACUGAGAUACGGCCCAGACUCCUACGGGAGGCAGCAGUGGGGAAUAUUGCACAAUGGGCGCAAGCCUGAUGCAGCGACGCCGCGUGGGGGAUGACGGCCUUCGGGUUGUAAACUCCUUUCGCUAGGGACGAAGCUUUUGUGACGGUACCUAGAUAAGAAGCACCGGCUAACUACGUG